Molecule: ribosomal RNA, 1224 nt
Filed under: metagenome
Description: SSU rRNA
Rfam family: Eukaryotic small subunit ribosomal RNA
Source: RNAcentral
CUCAUGGUUUCACGGUAUUGCAAUGAGAACAAUUUAAAACCCUUAGCGAGAAUCAAGUGGAGGACAAGUCUGGUGCCAGCACCCGCGGUAAUUCCAGCUCCACUAGCGUAUAUUAAAGUUGUUGCAGUUAAAAAGCUCGUAGUUGAACCUCUGUCUGGGGCUAGUUUUGGCUUUGGUCAGGCUAGUUCUAGGCAUCCGCCUACAAGACUUAGAGGGCAUUCAGUUGUUCACUAGGAGGAGUAGGCAUUUUACUUUGAAAAAAUUAGAGUGUUUAAGGCAGGCAAUCGCCCGCAUAUAUUAGCAUGGAAUAAUAGAAUAGGACACUUUUCCAUUUCGUUGGUUAUUGGAAUCGUGUAAUGAUUAAUAGGGACAGUUGUGGGCAUUUGUAUUUAAUUGUCAGAGGUGAAAUUCUUGGAUUUAUUAAAGACAAACUAACGCGAAAGCAUUUGCCAAGGAUGUUUUCAUUAAUCAAGAACGAAAGUUAGGGGAUCAAAGACGAUCAGAUACCGUCCUAGUCUUAACUAUAAACUAUUCCGACUCAAUGUUUGACUGGCUUAUAUAACCAGUUGAGCGUUGUAUGAGAAAUCAAAGUCUUUAGGUUCUGGGGGGAGUAUGGUUGCAAAGCUGAAACUUAAAGGAAUUGACGGAAGAGCACAACCAGGAGUGGAUUCUGCGGCUUAAUUUGACUCAACACGGGGAAACUUACCAGGUUAAAACAAUAGUGGGAUUGACAGUUUGAGAGCGCUUUCUUGAUUGGUUGGGUGGUGGUGCAUGGCCGUUCUUAGUUGGUGGAGUGAUUUGUCUGCUUAAUUGCGUUAACGAACGAGACCUUAACCUGCUUACUAGACUGGCGAUCAUCAAUCGUUAGCUCUUCUUAGAGGGACUUUGGUUGUUUUAACUCCAAGGAAGUUUGAGGCAAUAACAGAUCUGUGAUGCCCUUAGAUAUCCUGGGCCGCACGCGUCAUACAAUGACUAGUUCAGAAAGUUUUCUCCUGACCCGAAAGGGGAUGGGUAAUCUUGAUAAUACUAGUCGUGUUAGGGAUCGAUCUUUGCAAUUAUAGAUCUUGAACGAGGAAUUCCUUGUAAGUGCGGUUCAUCAGACCGUACUGAUUACGUCCCUGCUCUUUGUACACACCGCCCGUCGCUUCUACCGAGUGGGUGGUCCGGUGAGAUAAUUGAACUUCGCAGGUAACUGAGAGGAAAGAUUAUCAAACCUAUCCACCU